RNAcentral lists this ribosomal RNA (253 nucleotides) under uncultured bacterium. RNAcentral's name for it is "partial 16S ribosomal RNA". It matches the Rfam family "Bacterial small subunit ribosomal RNA", at positions 80 to 334 of the family's 1533-position model. The record is from RNAcentral.
CUUUCUUUGCUGGCGACCGCGCACGGGUGAGUAACACGUAUCCAACCUGCCCUUUACUCGGGGAUAGCCUUUCGAAAGAAAGAUUAAUACCCGAUAGCAUAAUGAUUCCGCAUGGUUUCAUUAUUAAAGGAUUCCGGUAAAGGAUGGGGAUGCGUUCCAUUAGGUUGUUGGUGAGGUAACGGCCCACCAAGCCUUCGAUGGAUAGGGGUUCUGAGAGGAAGGUCCCCCACAUUGGAACUGAGACACGGUCCAA